GACGAACGCUGGCGGCGUGCCUAAUACAUGCAAGUUGAGCGCUGAAGGUUGGUACUUGUACCGACUGGAUGAGCAGCGAACGGGUGAGUAACGCGUGGGGAAUCUGCCUUUGAGCGGGGGACAACAUUUGGAAACGAAUGCUAAUACCGCAUAAAAACUUUAAACACAAGUUUUAAGUUUGAAAGAUGCAAUUGCAUCACUCAAAGAUGAUCCCGCGUUGUAUUAGCUUGUUGGUGAGGUAAAGGCUCACCAAGGCGAUGAUACAUAGCCGACCUGAGAGGGUGAUCGGCCACAUUGGGACUGAGACACGGCCCAAACUCCUACGGGAGGCAGCAGUAGGGAAUCUUCGGCAAUGGACGAAAGGCUGACCGAGCAACGCCGCGUGAGUGAAGAAGGUUUUCGGAUCGUAAAACUCUGUUGGUAGAGAAGAACGUUGGUGAGAGUGGAAAGCUCAUCAAGUGACGGUAACUACCCAGAAAGGGACGGCUAACUACGUG
This 497-nucleotide ribosomal RNA is filed under the name uncultured bacterium. RNAcentral's name for it is "partial 16S ribosomal RNA". It matches the Rfam family "Bacterial small subunit ribosomal RNA", at positions 28 to 507 of the family's 1533-position model. The record is from RNAcentral.